CUCUGGUUAGCUCAGUUGGUAGAGCGCUCCACUGGAAAUGAAUCUGGUCCCGGGUUUGAUACCCAGACCAGGCG
Non-coding RNA from Ixodes scapularis (black-legged tick), 74 nucleotides. The record is from Rfam. NCBI's taxonomy places the organism in Eukaryota, Metazoa, Arthropoda, Arachnida, Ixodida, Ixodidae.